GGAGAGGUGGCCGAGUGGCUGAAGGCGCACGCUUGGAAAGCGUGUAUACGGGAGACCGUAUCGGGGGUUCGAAUCCCUUCCUCUCCG
RNAcentral lists this transfer RNA (87 nucleotides) under Bacteroidota bacterium. Its description in RNAcentral is "tRNA-Ser". It matches the Rfam family "tRNA". From Rfam's summary of the family: Transfer RNA (tRNA) molecules are approximately 80 nucleotides in length. Their secondary structure includes four short double-helical elements and three loops (D, anti-codon, and T loops). The record is from RNAcentral. Lineage: Bacteria; Pseudomonadati; Bacteroidota. RNAcentral also lists the same sequence under 1 other name.